RNAcentral lists this unclassified non-coding RNA (1240 nucleotides) under Hevea brasiliensis (rubber tree). Lineage: Eukaryota; Viridiplantae; Streptophyta; Magnoliopsida; Malpighiales; Euphorbiaceae. The record is from RNAcentral.
GCAAAAUCUUACAAUUUUAUGGCAAGUCUUUAGUUCUUACCAAACAAGAAUUGGCUAAAGAAAAGAUGUUAGCAGAACAAUCACUGAGUUAACUAGAAUUUUGACCAUCAUAUUAUCAAAAGCACACAAACUUGUGACUAGAAAUCAACUUCAAUUUGCGUAACCAAUUGAAAAAGGAAAUCAUCAACCAAUAAUUCAAGGAAAUGUCAUUUAUGUCAAAAAUGACCUGAGAUUGGCCAUAUCUUAUAGCAUUCAAGUCCUACUAUUAUUGUCCAUUUAGAUCAUCUGUUAGAAAAAUAACUUGAUUUUCUCUCUUUGACAGUUAUAGCACAAAACGCAAGAACAUUUACUUAGCAAAUAGCAAUUGCCAUUUCUAAGGAACCUCUUCCCCUUCCCUGGCCUUCUCUAACUCAAAAAGUAUCACUUGAAAUGCCAAGAAUUUUAACUGGCAACUCUUGGAUGAGAACAGUUAGCCUUCAAAACCAAAAGCAAACCAACAAUUCAGUAAAACUCAGACAACACUCAACCAUAGAAUAUAAAUGAAAUCAUACAGAAUAAAUUUCUUCCUACUACUGUGUCAGAUGCUUUACUUAUUUAUGUUGACUACAUGGUAAUCCCCUACAAGAAAUCUAUAGAAGAACUUGUUUUCAUUACCAGAAAAUAGUAAUAAUAAAAGAAAACCAAAAAUCAUAAACACCUCAAGUAAUAAUGUGCUCCAACUUUCCCAAAUCUCAUUCUGUUGGAUUGGAUAUGCAAGUAAAAAGUCUCACGCUUUCAGCAAACAUGGUUAAGGCAUUGUAUUAUCUAAAUUGAAUCUGGUAAUCAACUUCAUCCUCACUUCCAAAUUAAUGAUUCAAGCUUCAUAUGACAAUCAACUAAAGUAAUCUAGCACCAUCGAGCUACAUUUUUGUUAAGGAAACCAGCUCCUCCAUGACAUCUUCCUCUCCAACAAUACAGCCAAUCCAACCUAGCCAGUCUCAAUCCCCCACUCAUUAGUCAUUUGCAAUUUAUUAUCAGAUUGUAUAAACUCCAGCACACUGGCCCCACAAAAAAUGUCUCCAGAAAAAAAAUGACAACCCAAAAAAGCCUUGAGCCUCUUUAUUCCUUCCAUCACUAUUAACCUUCUAAACCCAAUUUAGCUAACCUGCUUCAGAUUGGGAUUCUCCUCUUUCCGUGAAAAUCACAAAUUUCCCAUUUUAACAUCCGCCCAAUAUCAUCCUUGUUCCCAUCUUUCCUGUUA